UACGUAGGGGGCCAGCGUUGCUCGGAAUUACUGGGCGUAAAGGGUCCGUAGGCGGUGUGGCAAGUCGGGAGUGAAAUCUCUGGGCUUAACCCAGAGGCUGCUUCCGAAACUGCUGUGCUAGAGUGUGAGAGAGGCGAGUGGAAUUGCGGGUGUAGCGGUGAAAUGCGUAGAUAUCCGCAGGAACAUCCGAGGCGAAAGCGGCUCGCUGGAUCACAACUGACGCUGAGGGACGAAAGCUAGGGGAG
This 245-nucleotide ribosomal RNA is filed under the name uncultured bacterium. Its description in RNAcentral is "partial 16S ribosomal RNA". It matches the Rfam family "Bacterial small subunit ribosomal RNA", at positions 524 to 768 of the family's 1533-position model. The record is from RNAcentral.